This 24-nucleotide non-coding RNA is filed under the name Arabidopsis thaliana (thale cress). The record is from RNAcentral. Lineage: Eukaryota; Viridiplantae; Streptophyta; Magnoliopsida; Brassicales; Brassicaceae.
GUGCGACGGUGACGACUGAGGCGU